UACGGGGGGGGCAAGCGUUGUUCGGAAUUACUGGGCGUAAAGGGCGCGUAGGCGGUCAGCACAAGUCAGUUGUGAAAUCUCCGGGCUUAACUCGGAAAGGUCAACUGAUACUGCGCGACUAGAGUGCAGAAGGGGCAACUGGAAUUCUCGGUGUAGCGGUGAAAUGCGUAGAUAUCGAGAGGAACACCUGCGGCGAAGGCGGGUUGCUGGGCUGACACUGACGCUGAUGCGCGAAAGCCAGGGGAGCGAACGGG
This 254-nucleotide ribosomal RNA is filed under the name uncultured bacterium. Its description in RNAcentral is "partial 16S ribosomal RNA". It matches the Rfam family "Bacterial small subunit ribosomal RNA", at positions 524 to 776 of the family's 1533-position model. The record is from RNAcentral.